AAGAAGACCUCUAAUGAAAGGCUGUGCAAGUUCUACAAGUCACCUAAACAUGAGCAGAAGGAUUGACAUGGAUUUAAGGAGUGGCUUAAGAACAAAGGUAUUCAGUUCGAUCCGAACUAUAAGAGAGGGGGAGCGAAGUCUAAGAGUGGCUGAUGGCAAUGAAGUGAAGGUUGAAGGCAUUGGGAGCUUCAAUUUGGAGUUACCAGACGGCUUCAACCUUAGUUUGCAUGAUGUUCUUUAUGUUCCCAGUUUGAAGAGAAACCUUAUUUCUGUUUCGCGUUUAGAUAAGUCGGGACAUAUUUGUGAGUUUGGCAACUCUGUGUGCAACAUUAAAUUUCAUAAUUUAAGUGUGGGCCUUGGUCAUUUGCAAGGCGAUCUUUAUUUGCUC
Long non-coding RNA from Panicum virgatum (switchgrass), 388 nucleotides. RefSeq lists it as uncharacterized. The record is from RefSeq and is a predicted model, not a curated record. NCBI's taxonomy places the organism in Eukaryota, Viridiplantae, Streptophyta, Magnoliopsida, Poales, Poaceae. The transcript is spliced from 2 exons.